This 769-nucleotide ribosomal RNA is filed under the name Enterobacter sp. 12(2015). Its description in RNAcentral is "bacterial SSU rRNA". It matches the Rfam family "Bacterial small subunit ribosomal RNA", at positions 705 to 1470 of the family's 1533-position model. Lineage: Bacteria; Pseudomonadati; Pseudomonadota; Gammaproteobacteria; Enterobacterales; Enterobacteriaceae. The record is from RNAcentral.
AAUACCCCCGGGGGAAGGGCGGCCCCCUUGGCCAAAGACUGAUGCUCAGGUGAGAAAGCGUGGGGAGCAAACAGGGAUUAGAUACCCUGGUAGUCCACGCCGUAAACGAUGUCGACUUGGAGGUUGCGCCCUUGAGGCGUGGCUUCCGGAGCUAACGCGUUAAGUCGACCGCCUGGGGAGUACGGCCGCAAGGUUAAAACUCAAAUGAAUUGACGGGGGCCCGCACAAGCGGUGGAGCAUGUGGUCUAAUUCGAUGCAACGCGAAGAACCUUACCUACUCUUGACAUCCAGAGAACUUAGCAGAGAUGGUUUGGUGCCUUCGGGAACUCUGAGACAGGUGCUGCAUGGCUGUCGUCAGCUCGUGUUGUGAAAUGUUGGGUUAAGUCCCGCAACGAGCGCAACCCUUAUCCUUUGUUGCCAGCGGUCCGGCCGGGAACUCAAAGGAGACUGCCAGUGAUAAACUGGAGGAAGGUGGGGAUGACGUCAAGUCAUCAUGGCCCUUACGAGUAGGGCUACACACGUGCUACAAUGGCGCAUACAAAGAGAAGCGAACUCGCGAGAGCAAGCGGACCUCAUAAAGUGCGUCGUAGUCCGGAUUGGAGUCUGCAACUCGACUCCAUGAAGUCGGAAUCGCUAGUAAUCGUAGAUCAGAAUGCUACGGUGAAUACGUUCCCGGGCCUUGUACACACCGCCCGUCACACCAUGGGAGUGGGUUGCAAAAGAAGUAGGUAGCUUAACCUUCGGGAGGGCGCUACCCCACUUGUGAUUC